AACGAACGCUGGCGGCAUGCCUAACACAUGCAAGUCGAACGAGACCUUCGGGUCUAGUGGCGCACGGGUGCGUAACGCGUGGGAACCUGCCCUUAGGUUCGGAAUAACUCCCCGAAAGGGGUGCUAAUACCGGAUAAUGUCUUAGGACCAAAGAUUUAUCGCCUUUGGAUGGGCCCGCGUUGGAUUAGGUAGUUGGUAGGGUAAAAGCCUACCAAGGCGACGAUCCAUAGCUGGUCUGUGAGGAUGAUCAGCCACACUGGGACUGGGACACGGCCCAUACGCCUACGGGAGGCAGCAGUGGUGAAUAUUGGACAAUGGGCGAAAGCCUGAUCCAGCACUGCCGCGUGAGUGAUGAAGGCCUUAGGGUUGUAAAGCUCUUUUACCCGGGAUGAUAAUGACAGUACCGGUAGAAUAAGCUCCGGCUAACUCCGU
RNAcentral lists this ribosomal RNA (432 nucleotides) under uncultured bacterium. RNAcentral describes it as "partial 16S ribosomal RNA". It matches the Rfam family "Bacterial small subunit ribosomal RNA", at positions 29 to 506 of the family's 1533-position model. The record is from RNAcentral.